Molecule: long non-coding RNA, 669 nt
Filed under: Phoenix dactylifera (date palm)
Lineage: Eukaryota; Viridiplantae; Streptophyta; Magnoliopsida; Arecales; Arecaceae
Description: long non-coding RNA (PDAC_LNC018727)
Source: RNAcentral
AAACUGAAUGAAGUUUAUUUGAACCAAUACAAAUUUCAAAUGUGCCAAAGCAUUGGUGAUUGCCUUCACUAGUCCUGGAGAGGUGGCGCUAAAGAUUGUGUUUUUUGCUUUGGCAAACUUAUAAUGUAACUGUUGGUGUGGCACAAAACCAGCAAUUCCAAAAUUAUUCAUUCAGGUGUUGUGCAGGAACCUUGAUAACAAGAAGCUAUGAUUCUAAUUACCAACAUUGGUUUUACAUCAUGAGUCCUUUCUACAAUAAACCUUUGGUUAAAGUUAGUCUUUCUAUGGUCUACAUGAAGAUUUUUUUUUUGUGUGUGUGUUUGUGUGUGCAUUAUGUAAUUUAGAUUCCUUGAUUUAGCCUUCAGUACGUGCACCCAACACUUGGACAUGGAUAUCGGUAUGACACUUGAUUACUACUCCUUUGGAAGGAUUCCUUAAAUGUUGUCAGGACCUGAAACUUCAACAUGCUAGUAGAGUGUAACCAAGCCAAACACAAGCGAACUGGGGUCAUCUUGAGCUUGACUUUAAAUUUUCAUGCGAGGAUUGAGCUAUGCUUGGGUUUGUCCUGAGCUUACAGAUUUCAGCUGGAGCUCUGUCCAUUGGCUCGUAAUAGGGACAAAAAGUAUGUUGGAUAUGAGAGGUGGUGUAGCCUGAAUUAAUAACAUAAAU